Molecule: ribosomal RNA, 1434 nt
Filed under: uncultured bacterium
Lineage: Bacteria
Description: bacterial SSU rRNA
Rfam family: Bacterial small subunit ribosomal RNA
Source: RNAcentral
AGAGUUUGAUCAUGGCUCAGAACGUACGCUGGCGGCACGCCUAACACAUGCAAGUCGAACGAAGUAGCAAUACUUAGUGGCAGACGGGUGAGUAACAUGUAGGUAUCUGCCCUUUGGCCUGGAAUAACACGAGGAAACUUGUGCUAAUACCGGAUAAGUCUUUACGGAGAAAGCUUUAUGCACCAUUGGAUGAGCCUGCACUUGAUUAGUUUGUUGGUGGGGUAAUGGCCUACCAAGACUGUGAUCAAUAGCUGAUUUGAGAGGAUGAUCAGCCACAUUGGGACUGAGACACGGCCCAAACUCCUACGGGAGGCAGCAGUGGGGAAUCUUGCACAAUGGAGGAAACUCUGAUGCAGCGAUGCCGCGUGAGUGAAGAAGGCCCUUGGGUUGUAAAGCUCUUUCGUCGGGGAAGAAAAUGACUGUACCCGAAUAAGAAGGUCCGGCUAACUUCGUGCCAGCAGCCGCGGUAAUACGAAGGGACCUAGCGUAGUUCGGAAUUACUGGGCUUAAAGAGUUCGUAGGUGGUUGAAAAAGUUAGUGGUGAAAUCCCAGAGCUUAACUCUGGAACUGCCAUUAAAACUUUUCAGCUAGAGUAUGAUAGAGGAAAGCAGAAUUUCUAGUGUAGAGGUGAAAUUCGUAGAUAUUAGAAAGAAUACCAAUUGCGAAGGCAGCUUUCUGGAUCAUUACUGACACUGAGGAACGAAAGCAUGGGUAGCGAAGAGGAUUAGAUACCCUCGUAGUCCAUGCCGUAAACGAUGUGUGUUAGACGUUGGAAAUUUAUUUUUCAGUGUCGCAGGGAAACCGAUAAACACACCGCCUGGGGAGUACGACCGCAAGGUUAAAACUCAAAUGAAUUGACGGGGACCCGCACAAGUAGUGGAGCAUGUGGUUUAAUUCGAAGAUACGCGCAGAACCUUACCAACACUUGACAUGUUCGUCGCGACUCUAAGAGAUUAGAGUUUUCGGUUCGGCCGGACGAAACACAGGUGCUGCAUGGCUGUCGUCAGCUCGUGUCGUGAGAUGUUGGGUUAAGUCCCGCAACGAGCGCAACCCUCACUUUUAGUUGCCAUCAUUAAGUUGGGCACUCUGAAAGAACUGCCAGUGAUAAGCUGGAGGAAGGUGGGGAUGACGUCAAGUCCUCAUGGCCCUUACGUGUUGGGCUACACACGUGCUACAAUGGUAUCUACAACAGGAAGCAAGACUGCGAAGUUAAGCAAAUCCCUAAAAGAUACCUCAGUUCGGAUUGCACUCUGCAACUCGAGUGCAUGAAGCUGGAAUUACUAGUAAUCGUGGAUCAGCGUGCCACGGUGAAUGCGUUCCCGGGUCUUGUACACACCGCCCGUCACACCAUGGGAGUUGGUUCUACCUUAAGGCAAGGUUUCAAACCCUUGACCACGGUAUAGUCAGCGACUGGGGUGAAGUCGUAACAAGGUA